RNAcentral lists this ribosomal RNA (585 nucleotides) under uncultured bacterium. RNAcentral describes it as "partial 16S ribosomal RNA". It matches the Rfam family "Bacterial small subunit ribosomal RNA", at positions 355 to 936 of the family's 1533-position model. The record is from RNAcentral.
UGGGGAAUAUUGCACAAUGGGCGCAAGCCUGAUGCAGCCAUGCCGCGUGUGUGAAGAAGGCCUUCGGGUUGUAAAGCACUUUCAGCGAGGAGGAAGGUGGUGAGCUUAAUACGCUCAUCAAUUGACGUUACUCGCAGAAGAAGCACCGGCUAACUCCGUGCCAGCAGCCGCGGUAAUACGGAGGGUGCAAGCGUUAAUCGGAAUUACUGGGCGUAAAGCGCACGCAGGCGGUUUGUUAAGUCAGAUGUGAAAUCCCCGGGCUCAACCUGGGAACUGCAUUUGAAACUGGCAAGCUAGAGUCUCGUAGAGGGGGGUAGAAUUCCAGGUGUAGCGGUGAAAUGCGUAGAGAUCUGGAGGAAUACCGGUGGCGAAGGCGGCCCCCUGGACGAAGACUGACGCUCAGGUGCGAAAGCGUGGGGCAGCAAACAGGAUUAGAUACCCUGGUAGUCCACGCUGUAAACGAUGUCGAUUUUGGAGGUUGUGCCCCUUGAGGCGUGGCUUCCGGAGCUAACGCGUUAAAUCGACCGCCUGGGGAGUACGGCCGCAAGGUUAAAACUUAAAUGAAUUGACGGGUCUAGCUGUUCC